This 201-nucleotide long non-coding RNA is filed under the name Gossypium barbadense (sea-island cotton). Its description in RNAcentral is "long non-coding RNA (GBAR_LNC014277)". Lineage: Eukaryota; Viridiplantae; Streptophyta; Magnoliopsida; Malvales; Malvaceae. The record is from RNAcentral.
UUAAUUGCACUUUCGACGACAACACGUUCCAAAAUGACCACAUAAAUUCUUUCACUUUUGGAAGGAUGAGCAACUAUCGUAGGACAUUCCAUUUCAAGGAUACCACAGUAUCAAACUUGUCACCAUAUAAAUGAUUUCCAACAUACUAACCUGAUUUUACCGUAAUAAUCUCGACCACCUCUUACACUUACAAAAAUUUUC